GGAAGGAUCAUUAACACGUAUCCACGUAUUAACCAAACGCGAACAUGUUCUCCCUAAUAAUUGUUGUGCUGUUUGAUUGAAUCAUGGUGGGUAUGCAUUCGUGCAUACGAUUCAAUUGAACUUGAGCUUCGAGCUCUAGGCUUUACUAUUUAUUAGGCUUUCUUUUCCAUCAUACCUUUCUUCCUUAAGGUACGAUGGAAUUAUAAAAACCUAUUUCACCCUAACUAUCAACAUUUGACUAAUACUAUUCACUUGGAGAAAUCCAAGCCUGAAUUGAGUUAUCUUAACUAAGCACAACUCUUAGCAAUGGAUAUCUUGGUUCUCGCAACGAUGAAGAACGCAGCGAAAUGCGAUAUGUAAUGCGAAUUGCAGAAUUCAGUGAAUCAUCAAAUCUUUGAACGCAAAUUGCGCUCUCGGGAUAGUCCUGGGAGCACACCUCUCUGAGUAUCGGUUCAAACUCAACUCUUCAGCGUGCUUGCAUGCAGAAGGAAAAUGAGAGUCUUAGCUGAUCUAGCUAAGUCUCUUGAAAUAUGUUGAGCUUUAGAUCUCCUAGUAAUUCAAUCAUUCGUGAUUGAUAGCCUCAUAGGCCCUUUUCUACUAGUGACGUGGAUAAUAUCACCUUCGCGGUGUCUUGAAACGUCUUAUCUAGAAGUUAAAGAAUUGUUUAUGAGUGUGAACGACUAGGUAGUUCUCUAGCGUUAGAAUUGAACUGUCUCUUUUCGAGACUCCUCGAAUUAGAUCUCAGAUGAAGUGAGACAAACCCCCUGAAUUUAAGCAUAUUAAUAAGGGGAGGAAAAGAAACUAACAAGGAUUCCCCUAGUAACGGCGAGUGAAGCGGGAUGAGCUCAAUUUGAAAAUCGGUAAUCCAAGCGGGUUAUCGAAUUGUAGCCUAGAGACGUGUCAUCAGCGUGUGAGCCAGGUACAAGUCCUUUGGAAGAAGGCAUCAUAGAGGGUGAGAAUCCCGUCUCUGAUCUGGAUUUCGCCGCGUACGAUGCAUGUUCACAGAGUCGAGUUGUUUGGGAUUGCAGCUCUAAAUGGGUGGUAAGUUUCAUCUAAAGCUAAAUAUUGGCGAGAGACCGAUAGCGAACAAGUACCGUGAGGAAAGAUGAAAAGAACUUUGAAAAGAGAGUUAAAAAGUACUUGAAAUUGCUAAGAGGGAAGGAAUAGAAACCAGUCGUGCUUGCAGUCAUAUCCAUCAUCUGCUCUCGAAGGUAUGCGUACUAAGUUCGAAAGUCUUAGUGCGUAUUCGGACGAAGGGUAGGUGGUUCUGUGGCUGCGAGUGGGUCAGAAUCAAUUCGGUUCGCAGGAGAAAGGUGUAAGAAAGGUAGGUUUGGCUUCGGUUAAACUGUUAUAGACUUAUGCCCAUACUGUGUUCUGGAUUGAGGAUGAAAUGAUGCGCCUUUGGCUUGGUAACCUGCUCCUGCUAGAUCAUCAGGUUUGGAUAGCAAUGCUAUGCGGUCUGAGAAGUCUGGUACUGGGUGGGAUUACCAUAUGCAUCAUCGCGAUUCUGACAAAAUGGUUUCUAUUCACCCGUCUUGAAACACGGACCAAGGAGUCUAACAUAUAUGCGAGUAUUUGGGUGGUAAACCCUGGUGCGCAAUGAAAGUAAAGGUAGCUUGUCUACUGAGGUAGGAACCCGGCAACGGGGGCACUAUCGACCGAUCAUCACUUGUGAAAGAUUUGAGUAAGAGCAUAUCUGUUGGGACCCGAAAGAUGGUGAUCUAUGCCUGAACAGGGUGAAGCCAGGGGAAACUCUGGUGGAGGCUCGUAGCGAUACUGACGUGCAAAUCGUUCGUCUGAUUUGGGUAUAGGGGCGAAAGACUAAUCGAACCAUUUAGUAGCUGGUUCCCUC
This 1852-nucleotide unclassified non-coding RNA is filed under the name uncultured fungus. Its description in RNAcentral is "sequence contains 18S rRNA gene, ITS1, 5.8S rRNA gene, ITS2, 28S rRNA gene". The stretch from base 737 to 1852 matches the Rfam family "Eukaryotic large subunit ribosomal RNA", at positions 1 to 961 of the family's 3401-position model. The record is from RNAcentral. Lineage: Eukaryota; Fungi.